This 527-nucleotide ribosomal RNA is filed under the name uncultured bacterium. RNAcentral's name for it is "bacterial SSU rRNA". It matches the Rfam family "Bacterial small subunit ribosomal RNA", at positions 28 to 531 of the family's 1533-position model. The record is from RNAcentral.
GGCUAACGCUGGCGGCGUGUCUUAGCCAUGCAAGUCGAGCGGACUUAUGGGGUAACUUAUAAGUCAGCGGCGGACGGCGGAGUAACACGUAGCUAACCUACCCUCUGGACGGGGAUAACCUACCGAAAGGUGGGCUAAUACCCGAUGUAGUCAUCCUGUAUAGGGGUGAUGAAAGGUGGGCUUCUGUUUACAAGCUCAUGCUGGAGGAGGGGGCUGCGGCCUAUCAGGUAGUUGGUAGGGUAAUAGCCUACCAAGCCGAUGACGGGUAGCCGGCCUGAGAGGGUGACCGGCCCGAGGGGCACUGAGAUACGGGUCCCACUCCUACGGGAGGCAGCAGGCUAGAAAUUUGGGCAAUGGGGGAAACCCUGGACCCAGUGACGCCGCGUGCAGGAAGGAGCCCUUCGGGGUGUAAACUGCUGUCGUGUAGGGAGAAGGGGUACUAAGGUGAACAAUCUUAGUACUUGACGGUACUACAGGAGGAAGCCCAGGCUAACCUCGUGCCAGCAGCCCGCGGUAAAAUGCGUACU